This 253-nucleotide ribosomal RNA is filed under the name uncultured bacterium. RNAcentral's name for it is "partial 16S ribosomal RNA". It matches the Rfam family "Bacterial small subunit ribosomal RNA", at positions 524 to 776 of the family's 1533-position model. The record is from RNAcentral.
UACAGAGGUCUCAAGCGUUGUUCGGAUUCAUUGGGCGUAAAGGGUGUGUAGGUGGCGCCGUAAGUCGGGUGUGAAAUUUCGGAGCUUAACUCCGAAACUGCAUUCGAUACUGCGGUGCUUGAGGACUGGAGAGGAGACUGGAAUUCAGGGUGUAGCAGUGAAAUGCGUAGAGAUCAUGAGGAAGACCAGUGGCGAAGGCGGGUCUCUGGACAGUUCCUGACACUGAGACACGAAGGCCAGGGGAGCAAACGGG